Molecule: ribosomal RNA, 497 nt
Filed under: uncultured bacterium
Lineage: Bacteria
Description: partial 16S ribosomal RNA
Rfam family: Bacterial small subunit ribosomal RNA
Source: RNAcentral
GAUGAACGCUGGCGGCGUGCCUAAUACAUGCAAGUCGAGCGAACGGACGAGAAGCUUGCUUCUCUGAUGUUAGCGGCGGACGGGUGAGUAACACGUGGAUAACCUACCUAUAAGACUGGGAUAACUUCGGGAAACCGGAGCUAAUACCGGCUGAUAUUUUGAACCGCAUGGUUCCAAAGUGAAAGACGGUCUUGCUGUCACUUAUAGAUGGAUCCGCGCUGCAUUAGCUAGUUGGUAAGGUAACGGCCUACCAAGGCAACGAUGCAUAGCCGACCUGAGAGGGUGACCGGCCACACUGGAACUGAGACACGGUCCAGACUCCUACGGGAGGCAGCAGUAGGGAAUCUUCCGCAAUGGGCGAAAGCCUGACGGAGCAACGCCGCGUGAGUGAUGAAGGCCUUCGGAUCGUAAAACUCUGUUAUUAGGGAAGAACAUAUGUGUAAGUAACUGUGCACAUCUUGACGGUACCUAAUGAGAAAGCCACGGCUAACUACGUG